CAUGGCUCAGAUUGAACGCUGGCGGCAGGCCUAACACAUGCAAGUCGAACGGUAGCACAGAGAGCUUGCUCUUGGGUGACGAGUGGCGGACGGGUGAGUAAUGUAUGGGAAACUGCACGGUGGAGGGGGAUAACUACUGGAAACUGUAGCUAAUACCGCAUAAUGUCGCAAGACCAAAGAGGGGGACCUCUGGCCUCUUGCCAUCGGAUGUGCCCAGAUGUGAUUAGCUAGUUGGUGAGGUAAUGGCUCACCAAGGCGACGAUCCCUAGCUGGUCUGAGAGGAUGACCAGCCACACUGGAACUGAGACACGGUCCAGACUCCUACGG
Molecule: ribosomal RNA, 327 nt
Filed under: uncultured bacterium
Lineage: Bacteria
Description: bacterial SSU rRNA
Rfam family: Bacterial small subunit ribosomal RNA
Source: RNAcentral